Cinara cedri is the source of this 246-nucleotide non-coding RNA. The record is from the annotation of a GenBank genome assembly. NCBI's taxonomy places the organism in Eukaryota, Metazoa, Arthropoda, Insecta, Hemiptera, Aphididae.
AACAGUAACCGAUUUUACAACAUUGAACGUAAAAAUGUUUAGAUGUACUGGUCGUAUUUAUAUAUAGAUGUAUAUGGUGGAGUCAUAUUUGCCUAAAUUGUUUCAUUUCAUAUAAUAUGUGAAAAACUAUGAGAACUUACUGUAUUCAUAAGUUUAUUACCUCUUCACUCGAAUGCUUCCUGCACACGAGAAGCAUGUAUCUUUACAACGAAAUCUUGAAGUACUUUCUGUAAAUGAUAUUAUGUA